GACCUCAUGGUGAAAUGGAGAUCAUCGGAGCUUGCGAAGCUUCAGUUCCAGGUUCGAGUCCUGGUGGGGUCA
RNAcentral lists this transfer RNA (72 nucleotides) under Phycisphaerae bacterium. RNAcentral's name for it is "tRNA-Arg". It matches the Rfam family "tRNA". From Rfam's summary of the family: Transfer RNA (tRNA) molecules are approximately 80 nucleotides in length. Their secondary structure includes four short double-helical elements and three loops (D, anti-codon, and T loops). The record is from RNAcentral. RNAcentral also lists the same sequence under 1 other name. Lineage: Bacteria; Pseudomonadati; Planctomycetota; Phycisphaerae.